Molecule: long non-coding RNA, 429 nt
Organism: Sander lucioperca (pikeperch)
Lineage: Eukaryota; Metazoa; Chordata; Actinopteri; Perciformes; Percidae
Exons: 2
Source: RefSeq, a predicted model, not a curated record
GACAUUUUAUUCAAGGUGGCAAUAAAUAUAGUUGUCGUCUGCUUUCCACACUCUCCCAAACACACAGCUGAAAUCUGGCCCCACUUUUGAGUUAACUUCUCUUCCACUAGCAUUUUGGCACAGACAUUUUAUUCAUCUGCCAUACUGGGGUAAAAAACUGGGGUGCUCCUGGGAAACCCUGUCUAUAUAUUCUGAGCUAAGUUUGUAUUUACCACAAUGCUCAACCUGUUACAUUUGAACUCUUCAUCAUCGAUAAUCAGAAACCAUUAACAAAUGUUAUUUACUACAUCCCCCAUGAGUCUUAUUCAUGGGGGAACUAUUAAAGGAUCAUGGGAGCUAUUGUUCAUUGUUUUACCUUGAUUAAAAUAAUAAGUUAUGUUAGUGGAUAUAAAGUUAAUUGAGAUGAGGCUAGUGGAAUAGAUGCUAGCU